AACCUAUUAGCUCAACAGGUAGAGCACUAUGCACUAUGCAUAGGAGAUGUGGGUUCGAUUCCUACAUAGGUUG
This 73-nucleotide transfer RNA is filed under the name Spinacia oleracea (spinach). It matches the Rfam family "tRNA". Rfam says of the family: Transfer RNA (tRNA) molecules are approximately 80 nucleotides in length. The record is from Rfam by way of RNAcentral. Lineage: Eukaryota; Viridiplantae; Streptophyta; Magnoliopsida; Caryophyllales; Amaranthaceae.